Molecule: transfer RNA, 69 nt
Filed under: Loxodonta africana (African savanna elephant)
Lineage: Eukaryota; Metazoa; Chordata; Mammalia; Proboscidea; Elephantidae
Rfam family: tRNA
About the family: Transfer RNA (tRNA) molecules are approximately 80 nucleotides in length. Their secondary structure includes four short double-helical elements and three loops (D, anti-codon, and T loops). Further hydrogen bonds mediate the characteristic L-shaped molecular structure. tRNAs have two regions of fundamental functional importance: the anti-codon, which is responsible for specific mRNA codon recognition, and the 3' end, to which the tRNAs corresponding amino acid is attached (by aminoacyl-tRNA synthetases). tRNAs cope with the degeneracy of the genetic code in two manners: having more than one tRNA (with a specific anti-codon) for a particular amino acid; and 'wobble' base-pairing, i.e. permitting non-standard base-pairing at the 3rd anti-codon position.
Source: Rfam by way of RNAcentral
GCAGUGGUAAUUCAGUGGUAGAAUUCUCGCCUUCCAUGCGGGAGACCUGGGUCUGAUUCCCAGCCAGCA